Non-coding RNA from Vicia faba (fava bean), 186 nucleotides. NCBI's taxonomy places the organism in Eukaryota, Viridiplantae, Streptophyta, Magnoliopsida, Fabales, Fabaceae. The record is from the annotation of a GenBank genome assembly.
AUGCUUACACACAUUAACCAAACUGACCCACCAGAUUUAAUAAUCACCCUUAACUCCUCCUCGAAAAAAUUAUCUUUGAAUUUGAACUAUUUUCCUCCAAAGUUUUACGAAAAAAUUGAAAAAUAUAGGAAUAAAAUACGGAUAACAUUAAGCACAAAGUUAAGCAACCCCUCUCCCCCAAGAUAA